Molecule: ribosomal RNA, 395 nt
Filed under: uncultured bacterium
Lineage: Bacteria
Description: bacterial SSU rRNA
Rfam family: Bacterial small subunit ribosomal RNA
Source: RNAcentral
GUGUCAGCAGCCGCGGUAAUACGUAGGGGGCAAGCGUUGUCCGGAUUUACUGGGCGUAAAGAGCGCGUAGGCGGAGAUCUAAGCGUGGCCUGAAAGCCCCCGGCUCAACCGGGGAGUGCGGCUGCGAACUGGGUUUCUUGAGGACGAUAGAGGAGAGUGGAAUUCCUGGUGUAGCGGUGAAAUGCGUAGAUAUCAGGAGGAACACCCGAGGCGAAGGCGGCUCUCUGGGUCGUACCUGACGCUGAGGCGCGAAAGCGUGGGGAGCGAACGGGAUUAGAUACCCCGGUAGUCCACGCCGUAAACGAUGGUCACUAGGUGUGUGUGGUAUCGACCCCGCACGUGCCGCAGCUAACGCAAUAAGUGACCCGCCUGGGGAGUACGGCCGCAAGGUUGAA